AGCGGACAGAAGGGAGCUUGCUCCCGGAUGUUAGCGGCGGACGGGUGAGUAACACGUGGGUAACCUGCCUGUAAGACUGGGAUAACUCCGGGAAACCGGAGCUAAUACCGGAUAGUUCCUUGAACCGCAUGGUUCAAGGAUGAAAGACGGUUUCGGCUGUCACUUACAGAUGGACCCGCGGCGCAUUAGCUAGUUGGUGGGGUAAUGGCUCACCAAGGCGACGAUGCGUAGCCGACCUGAGAGGGUGAUCGGCCACACUGGGACUGAGACACGGCCCAGACUCCUACGGGAGGCAGCAGUAGGGAAUCUUCCGCAAUGGACGAAAGUCUGACGGAGCAACGCCGCGUGAGUGAUGAAGGUUUUCGGAUCGUAAAGCUCUGUUGUUAGGGAAGAACAAGUGCGAGAGUAACUGCUCGCACCUUGACGGUACCUAACCAGAAAGCCACGGCUAACUACGUGCCAGCAGCCGCGGUAAUACGUAGGUGGCAAGCGUUGUCCGGAAUUAUUGGGCGUAAAGGGCUCGCAGGCGGUUUCUUAAGUCUGAUGUGAAAGCCCCCGGCUCAACCGGGGAGGGUCAUUGGAAACUGGGAAACUUGAGUGCAGAAGAGGAGAGUGGAAUUCCACGUGUAGCGGUGAAAUGCGUAGAGAUGUGGAGGAACACCAGUGGCGAAGGCGACUCUCUGGUCUGUAA
This 691-nucleotide ribosomal RNA is filed under the name Bacillus sp. YIM 93888. RNAcentral describes it as "bacterial SSU rRNA". It matches the Rfam family "Bacterial small subunit ribosomal RNA", at positions 65 to 739 of the family's 1533-position model. Lineage: Bacteria; Bacillati; Bacillota; Bacilli; Caryophanales; Bacillaceae. The record is from RNAcentral.